Molecule: ribosomal RNA, 292 nt
Filed under: uncultured Acidobacteriota bacterium
Lineage: Bacteria; Pseudomonadati; Acidobacteriota
Description: uncultured Acidobacteria bacterium partial 16S ribosomal RNA
Source: RNAcentral
GGACUACUGGGGUAUCUAAUCCUGUUUGCUACCCACGCUUUCGUGCCUCAGCGUCAGUUAUGGUCCAGAAAGCCGUUUACACCACCGGUGUUCCUCCUGAUAUCUACGCAUUUCACCGCUACACCAGGAAUUCCACUUUCCUCUCCCACACUCUAGUCCCACAGUCUAUAGCGCACCCUCCCAGUUAAGCCGGGAGAUUUCACACCAUACUUAUAGGACCGCCUACGCACCCUUUACGCCCAGUAACUCCGAACAACGCUUGCUGCCUACGUAUUACCGCGGCUGCUGGCAC